This 488-nucleotide ribosomal RNA is filed under the name uncultured bacterium. RNAcentral describes it as "partial 16S ribosomal RNA". It matches the Rfam family "Bacterial small subunit ribosomal RNA", at positions 29 to 507 of the family's 1533-position model. The record is from RNAcentral.
ACGAACGCUGGCGGCGUGCUUAACACCUGCAAGUCGAACGGUGAAGGGAUCAGCUUGCUGGUUCUGGAUGAGUGGCGAACGGGUGAGUAACACGUGAGUAACCUGCCCCCUUCUUCUGGAUAACCGCAUGAAAGUGUGGCUAAUACGGGAUAUUCUGCGCCUGCUGCAUGGUGGGUGUGGGAAAGAUAUUGUUUCGGUGGGGGAUGGGCUCGCGGCCUAUCAGCUUGUUGGUGGGGUGAUGGCCUACCAAGGCGGUGACGGGUAGCCGGCCUGAGAGGGUGGACGGUCACACUGGGACUGAGACACGGCCCAGACUCCUACGGGAGGCAGCAGUGGGGAAUAUUGCACAAUGGGCGCAAGCCUGAUGCAGCGACGCCGCGUGAGGGAUGGAGGCCUUCGGGUUGUGAACCUCUUUCGCCAGUGAAGCAGGCCUGUCCCGUGUGGGUGGGUUGACGGUAGCUGGAGAAGAAGCGCCGGCUAACUACGUG